This 525-nucleotide ribosomal RNA is filed under the name uncultured bacterium. RNAcentral describes it as "bacterial SSU rRNA". It matches the Rfam family "Bacterial small subunit ribosomal RNA", at positions 355 to 896 of the family's 1533-position model. The record is from RNAcentral.
UGGGGAAUAUUGGACAAUGGGCGCAAGCCUGAUCCAGCCAUGCCGCGUGAGUGAUGACGGCCUUAGGGUUGUAAAGCUCUUUCGCCAGGGACGAUAAUGACGGUACCUGGAUAAGAAGCCCCGGCUAACUUCGUGCCAGCAGCCGCGGUAAUACGAAGGGGGCUAGCGUUGUUCGGAAUUACUGGGCGUAAAGGGUGCGUAGGUGGUUCGGCAAGUCUUGUGUGAAAUCUUCAGGCUCAACUUGAAGUCUGCACAAGAAACUGCCGGGCUUGAGUAUGGGAGAGGUGAGUGGAAUUUCCGGUGUAGCGGUGAAAUGCGUAGAUAUCGGAAGGAACACCUGUGGCGAAAGCGGCUCACUGGACCAUUACUGACACUGAGGCACGAAAGCUAGGGGAGCAAACAGGAUUAGAUACCUUGGUAGUCCUAGCCCUAAACGAUGAUCGCUUGGUGUGGCGGGUAUCCAACCCUGCCGUGCCGAAGCUAACGCGUUAAGCGAUCCGCCUGGGGAGUACGGUCGCAAGGCUG